GGUACUUCACCACUUGUACGCGCUCUCAUGGCUUCAGUUCUCUUUGAGUUGUUGAAUCCGAUUGUCGUCGUUCACUUGCAAACCGUCGUACGCACGAAACAAUAUAAGAACCAUACAAAAUAUCGCUAGCAACUGUUGCUUUUAUCUAUGCAAAGCAUUUUGUGUGCUCGCCACCAAUCAAAUUAGUGAAUUGUGCAAAUAGGAGAAGAAAAUAAAUGUAAACAAGAAAACUGCAUCUGUUCCAAAGCAAAUGUUAGUGAUUAGAAGUCAAUUGGUGUUGCAGUGCAUAUUCUCCUUCCAGUGAAAUAUUUUGUGUGGUUUCAGUGCGAUUUUUGCUGGUAGGCCUUCGGUGCGCUGCUCUUUUGUGUGUUGUGCUCUUAUCCCUGAACGAAGUUACAGUGCAGCAGCAUUCUUUGUUGUCACAGGGCGCGCACAUUGGAAUUUUGCUUACUAACAACGAAGUGCCCACAAGUCCUACCCCCCCAAAAACCGUUGCCUAGUUGCGUUACGUAGUGUUUUGAUUUUUCACCUACCUAUUUAUUUUACGUUUGGCUUCCCAACGUUAUUCGUUACUUGGCUUUCUGGCUUACCUUCUUAUUUACAUACUCUACAUGCAUACAUAUACAUAUGUAUAUGUGUGAAUAUGAGUGCACUCGUCGGACGUGCGGUCGGUCGUUAAUGUCAGUGCAUUUGUUGAUGCUAGAAACCGGUUAUUGCUCCCCAACAAAUAGCGUAAAUGUUUCAAAUAGGUAGGUGUUGCUGUGUGCGGUUCUGCCAAUGAAGAAGCCCAUAAAAGCCAUUGGCGAGAAAAGAAAAAAUCUGUAAUAACAAAAUAAGUUAAGAUAGUUUUGCGCUAAAAAAUUCAAAACAAUGAAAAACGAAAAAAUGCACAUAAACAAAAUAACUCAAUUGAAGGCAUAACAUCAACAAUAAAAAAUAUUAAAGAACCAACGCUAUUUAGCUCCGAAGUUUAGUGGGGAAAAAACAACAACAACAUAAGUGAACAAAUAAAGUCUGCAGGCAACUACAACAACUGUGUCAACGGCAAGUGCAAAAGCUUUGUUUGCUGCACCAAAAACAACAACGCUCAAUACGAACAAGUGUACAUACAUAUGUAUGUGUAAGUAUAUGUGUAAAUAUUUACUAUAUACAUACAUAUGUAUGUUCUGUUGCAUUAAAAUCCGUUGCAAAUUCAAUGACACGCGAAGCUGCGCAGUUAAAUCAAAAGGUUAAUUGAUUUUUAAUUAAAAAGAAAGUCGGCACACUAGCGCAUAUGUAUGUAUGAAUGUACAUACAUAUGUAAAAUAUUUGCAUUUGAUUUGACUUUAAGUGGAAAUCCAGUUUUGUGAAAUUAAAAUAAUAAAUAUGUAUGUAAAUGCCAACGCACGACACAAGUGUAAAAAAGUAAAGAAUUUUGUCGCAGCGCAAGUUAUCAACAGCAAUAAAGAUUUUCCACAAUUUACCACAACAUCAAAAUUACUUUAGACGUCAACAAAGUGGCCUUUUUUAUGCCCAAAUUUGAUAUGCCCAUUUAUUUCCUGUUUCAUGAAGAUAGAUUAAGGUUAGCAAUAAAAUCACAAUGAAUACGCGAUAAACUCACCUGAAAGAUUGCUAUUGAGUUCGCCUUCCAAAGUAUAAAAUACUAGUGUUUUGCGGGACACUUUCCAAAAUAAUUUUUUGCUGGAACUUCACAACAAAAAUGUCAAUGAAUAUGUGUACAACAGGCAGAUAAAAAAAAACAACAACCAAAUAUAAAUGCUAGAACAGAAAAGUGAUUUGUACGCAUGGACGGAAGAAUAGCCGGCGGAGAAAUAAAGAAACCCAUAAAAGAAAGCGAAAACGAUUGAUAUUAAAAAAGCAACAACAAUUUACAAUUUUCUGUGGUAAAAAAAUUAGAAACGAAAUCGGAAACCGUAAAGAUUAAGUCGUCAAACCGGCAUGAAAGCAAUGAAAAUUCAUUAGAAAGCAACAACAACAACAACAAAAACAAUCAAUUAA
Molecule: long non-coding RNA, 1998 nt
Organism: Bactrocera latifrons
Lineage: Eukaryota; Metazoa; Arthropoda; Insecta; Diptera; Tephritidae
Exons: 6
Source: RefSeq, a predicted model, not a curated record